Oncorhynchus keta (chum salmon) is the source of this 1330-nucleotide long non-coding RNA. RefSeq lists it as uncharacterized. The record is from RefSeq and is a predicted model, not a curated record. Lineage: Eukaryota; Metazoa; Chordata; Actinopteri; Salmoniformes; Salmonidae. The transcript is spliced from 3 exons.
UGCAGAGAGACAUGGAGAGAGAUGCAGAGAGACAUGGAGAGAGAUAGACAGAGAUGCAGAGAGACAUGGAGAGAGAUAGACAGAGAUGCAGAGAGACAUGGAGAGAGAUAGACAGAGAUGCGGAGAGAGAUAGACAGAGAUGCAGAGAGAGAUAGACAGAGAUGCAGAGAGAGAUAGACAGAGAUGCAGAGAGACAUGGAGAGAGGUAGACAGAGAUGCAGAGAGACAUGGAGAGAGAUGCAGAGAGACAUGGAGAGAGAUAGACAGAGAUGCAGAGAGACAUGGAGAGAGAUGCAGAGAGACAUGGAGAGCGAUAGACAGAGAUGCAGAGAGACAUGGAGAGAGGUAGACAGAGAUGCAGAGAGACAUGGAGAGAGAUAGACAGAGAUGCAGAGAGACAUGGAGAGAGAUGCAGAGAGACAUGGAGAGAGGUAGACAGAGAUGCAGAGAGACAUGGAGAGAGAUGCAGAGAGACAUGGAGAGAGGUAGACAGAGAUGCAGAGAGACAUGGAGAGAGAUGCAGAGAGAGAUGCAGAGAGACAUGGAGAGAGGUAGACAGAGAUGCAGAGAGACAUGGAGAGAGAUAGACAGAGAUGCAGAGAGACAUGGAGAGAGAUGCAGAGAGACAUGGAGAGAGAUAGACAGAGAUGCAGAGAGACAUGGAGAAAGAUAGACAGAGAUGCAGAGAGACAUGGAGAGAGGUAGACAGAGAUGCAGAGAGACAUGGAGAGAGAUGCAGAGAGACAUGGAGAGAGAUAGACAGAGAUGCAGAGAGACAUGGAGAGAGAUAGACAGAGAUGCAGAGAGACAUGGAGAGAGAUAGACAGAGAUGCAGAGAGACAUGGAGAGAGGUAGACAGAGAUGCAGAGAGACAUGGAGAGAGAUGCAGAGAGACAUGGAGAGAGAUAGACAGAGAUGCAGAGAGACAUGGAGAGAGAUAGACAGAGAUGCGGAGAGAGAUAGACAGAGAUGCAGAGAGAGAUAGACAGAGAUGCAGAGAGAGAUAGACAGAGAUGCAGAGAGACAUGGAGAGAGGUAGACAGAGAUGCAGAGAGACAUGGAGAGAGAUAGAGAGACAUGGAGAGAGAUAGACAGAGAUGCAGAGAGACAUGGAGAGAGAUAGACAGAGAUGCAGAGAGACAUGGAGAGAGGUAGACAGAGAUGCAGAGAGACAUGGAGAGAGAUGCAGAGAGACAUGGAGAGAGAUAGACAGAGAUGCAGAGAGACAUGGAGAGAGGUAGACAGAGAUGCAGAGAGACAUGGAGAGAGAUGCAGAGAGACAUGGAGAGAGAUAGACAGAGAUGCAGAGAGACAUGGAGAGAGGUAGACA